AACGAACGCUGGCGGCAGGCCUAACACAUGCAAGUCGAGCGCCCAGCAAUGGGAGCGGCAGACGGGUGAGUAACACGUGGGAACCUUCCCUAUAGUACGGAAUAGCCCAGGGAAACUUGGAGUAAUACCGCAUACGCCCGAGAGGGGAAAGAUUUAUCGCUAUAGGAUGGGCCCGCGUAGGAUUAGCUAGUUGGUGAGGUAAUGGCUCACCAAGGCGACGAUCCUUAGCUGGUCUGAGAGGACGACCAGCCACACUGGGACUGAGACACGGCCCAGACUCCUACGGGAGGCAGCAGUGGGGGAAUAUUGGACAAUGGGCGCAAGCCUGAUCCAGCCAUGCCGCGUGAGUGAUGAAGGCCUUAGGGUUGUAAAGCUCUUUUGCCGGGGGACGAUAAUGACGGUACCCGGAGAAUAAGUCCCGGCUAACUUCGUGCCAGCAGCCGCGGUAAU
Molecule: ribosomal RNA, 450 nt
Filed under: uncultured bacterium
Lineage: Bacteria
Description: bacterial SSU rRNA
Rfam family: Bacterial small subunit ribosomal RNA
Source: RNAcentral